This 406-nucleotide ribosomal RNA is filed under the name uncultured bacterium. Its description in RNAcentral is "partial 16S ribosomal RNA". It matches the Rfam family "Bacterial small subunit ribosomal RNA", at positions 30 to 526 of the family's 1533-position model. The record is from RNAcentral.
AUUGAACGCUGGCGGCAGGCUUAACACAUGCAAGUCGAGCGAGCGGCGGACGGGUGAGUAAUGUCUGGGAAACUGCCUGAUGGAGGGGGAUAACUACUGGAAACGGUAGCUAAUACCGCAUACCAUCAGAUGUGCCCAGAUUGGAUUAGCUAGUAGGUGGGGUAAUGGCUCACCUAGGCGACGAUCCCUACCUGGUCUGAGAGGCUGGCCAGCCACACUGUAACUGAGACACGGUCCAGACACUGACGUGAGGCAGCAGUGGGGAAUAUUGCAAAAUGGGCGCAAGCCUUAUGCAGCCAUGCCGCGUGUGGGAAGAAGGCCUUCGGGUUGAAAAGCACUUUCAGCGAGGAGGCGUUACUCGCAGAAGAAGCACCGGCUAACUCCGUGCCAGCAGCCGCGGUAAUAC